This 24-nucleotide non-coding RNA is filed under the name Cricetulus griseus (Chinese hamster). The record is from RNAcentral. Lineage: Eukaryota; Metazoa; Chordata; Mammalia; Rodentia; Cricetidae.
UGGUUUAUGUAGUGAUUUGUAGGA